This 32-nucleotide ribosomal RNA is filed under the name Rhizoctonia solani. Its description in RNAcentral is "partial 18S ribosomal RNA". Lineage: Eukaryota; Fungi; Basidiomycota; Agaricomycetes; Cantharellales; Ceratobasidiaceae. The record is from RNAcentral.
GGUGAACCUGCGGAAGGAUCAUUAUUGAAAUU